This is a long non-coding RNA of Camellia sinensis, 617 nucleotides long. RefSeq lists it as uncharacterized. Lineage: Eukaryota; Viridiplantae; Streptophyta; Magnoliopsida; Ericales; Theaceae. The record is from RefSeq and is a predicted model, not a curated record.
UAUCCACAUGGCGUUGGCCUUGGCCUCUUGAGCAAUCUCAACACUAGAAACUAAAGCUUGAAGAGGAAAAAAAGAAAAGAAAAUAAUUAAUUCAAUGGAGAAAUUUGCUCAAGAUUUGAAGGAGAGAUUUCUUCAUCUGGUUGAAGCCAUCAGAUCUUGCAAAACUGCUAAAGAAACUGAAAUUGGAGAGGAAACCAAUUUGAAGACUGUGAAGAAAGUCAAGGUGCAAUCUAGACAACUUAAUAUCACAACAAGGGGUCCGACAACCGCAAAAGUGUCUGUAGGUGCUCCUCCUCAGACCGAUUAAAGUUCAAUCAAAGGCGAUGUUUUUUUUCUGGAUUAAGGUGAUUGAGAUUGUGAAUAUAAUAAGAUUGAGGGAUGUGAUUAUUGGCGUGGUGAUAUUAAGUUGGAAAUGUGUAAGAUGAAUGUAUUUAUUUGUAUAGUAGUGUGAUGAUAUUAAUUUGUUUUGAUUAAAUCUAUGAAACUACAUAAAAACUUUCAUUAUGUAAAAUAUAGUUUUGUUAUUUUGUAAAUUGAGGACAAAACAGUCUUUAGAUUAGUAAUCCCAAUCUCCUUUGAAAAUCCUAAUUCCACAAUUUGGGGGGAUUCAUAGUCUA